CCUACGGGUGGCAGCAGUGAGGAAUAUUGGUCAAUGGGCGGAAGCCUGAACCAGCCAAGUCGCGUGCGGGAUGAAGGCCCUACGGGUUGUAACCCGCUUUUGUACGGGGAUAACACCCUCUACUUGUGGAGGUCUGCAGGUACCGUGCGAAUAAGGGUCGGCUAAUUCCGUGCCAGCAGCCGCGGUAAUACGGAAGGUCCUAGCGUUAUCCGGAUUUAUUGGGCUUAAAGGGUGCGUAGGCGGGCGAUCAAGUCAGCGGUAAAAUCGCGCGGCUCAACCUGGCCCCGCAGUUGAAACUGGACGGCUUGAGAGCACAACAGGCAGGCGGAAUUCGUGGUGUAGCGGUGAAAUGCAUAGAGAUCA
Molecule: ribosomal RNA, 363 nt
Filed under: uncultured bacterium
Lineage: Bacteria
Description: partial 16S ribosomal RNA
Rfam family: Bacterial small subunit ribosomal RNA
Source: RNAcentral